This 602-nucleotide long non-coding RNA is filed under the name Salmo salar (Atlantic salmon). RNAcentral describes it as "lncRNA (ENSSSAG00000106549.1)". The record is from RNAcentral. Lineage: Eukaryota; Metazoa; Chordata; Actinopteri; Salmoniformes; Salmonidae.
CUAGUGUGUGAGAGAGGGGUGGUCUAGUGUGUGAGAGAGGGGUGGUGUAGUGUGAGAGAGGGGGGUGGUCUGGUGUGAGAGAGAGGGGUGGUCUGGUGUGAGAGAGAGGGGUGGUCUGGUGUGAGAGAGAGGGGUGGUCUGGUGUGAGAGAGAGGGGUGGUCUGGUGUGAGAGAGAGGGGUGGUCUGGUGUGAGAGAGAGGGGUGGUCUAGUGUGAGAGAGAGGGGUGGUCUAGUGUGAGAGAGGGGUGGUCUAGUGUGUGAGAGAGGGGUGGUCUAGUGUGAGAGAGGGGGGUGGUCUAGUGUGAGAGAGAGGGGUGGUCUAGUGUGAGAGAGAGGGGUGGUCUAGUGUGAGAGAGGGUGGUGUAGUGAGAGAGGGGUGGUGUAGUGAGAGAGGGGUGGUCUGGUGUGAGAGAGAGGGGUGGUCUGGUGUGAGAGAGAGGGGUGGUCUGGUGUGAGAGAGAGGGGUGGUCUAGUGUGAGAGAGAGGGGUGGUCUAGUGUGAGAGAGGGGGGUGGUCUAGUGUGAGAGAGAGGGGUGGUCUAGUGUGAGAGAGAGGGGUGGUCUAGUGUGUGAGAGAGGGGUGGUGUAGUGAGAGAGAGAGG